Molecule: long non-coding RNA, 1230 nt
Filed under: Gossypium barbadense (sea-island cotton)
Lineage: Eukaryota; Viridiplantae; Streptophyta; Magnoliopsida; Malvales; Malvaceae
Description: long non-coding RNA (GBAR_LNC006145)
Source: RNAcentral
UCCCUUUAUUACAUCAGUCCAAAUCUGCCAAAUUUCAAUGGCCCAACAAAGUCCAAACUCAUUUACAAUAACCCAAUUCUAAACCCAACUACUCUAGCCCAAAAAUUCAAAGCCCAAAUAACCCAAAAUAUUUUAGAAUCAGAAACUAGGGUUUCCCUUUCUCUACAGCUGGCCUCCCAACCCUCAUACAGCCUUCAGCAUCUCCGUACGGCCUUCACGCACCACCCCAAGCCAAGCGCCACGUACCACCGCGCCAACUAGCCUCCGUACCUGCGAAGAAACAGACAAACACAGCAGCAAGAGCAAAAACCAAGCAAAAAAAUUUGUAUUCUUUUUCUCUUUUGUUGUGGCUAUAAAAAGCCAAGAAAUAUCAAUGUAUCGCUCUCUCUUAUUUUACGCACACUUUAUGCAUAUUACGCAAACCGAAUACAAAGAAAAGGUUAUCGAAAAUUAGCGAAAGGUGGUUUUCAAUUCCUCAUAUCUAUUUUUUUCUUUUUUUGCAUUUCAGUUUUUGGCUUUUUAAUCUUGUAUGUGGUUUAUGCAAAUAGAAACAAAAAAAAAGGAAAUGGAUUUACCAUAAUAAUUCGAAUUCAUCUUCUUCAUCGCAAUCGAAGUAAGGGUAGAAUCGCGAAGCCGAAACAAACCUCGGGGCUUGGUCCUACAAGGCACCGCUGCAUGUCACCGACCACUGUUUACAGUGGUGUAAGAGCGUCUAAAUAUGGGGGUUGCUGGAUCGGCCAAAUGAGGAGAAAAUGGGGCGUUAGGUUUUGGUCCGAUUGUGGUUUGAAGAUAUGGCAUAUUGCCAUUCAAUUUCCUACAAUUAUGGAUUAAAAAUGAAACAGGGCGGUUUCAGGUAAGAGAUCUGCGCGUCGACCCAUUCCAGGACCCAGAUCCGCGCCUUAGCUCUUCAAAUGGGGAAUUUGCGCGUUAGAUCCCUCCUCUCGCGCGAGCAUUCAAUUGUGCCCUGUUUGAUUUACUUUAUUUUUCUUUUUGUAAAUUUGGCUCCAUAGUUUGCGCGUGUUUUCAUUUUAGUCCGUGAUACAGUGCUGCAUUUUGGGCUUGGGGAGAUUUGCAAUUCUAGUCCCAAUACUUUUACGCGCGUUGCACAUUGAUCUUAUUUACGAUUAUUUUAUUUGUAAAUUAUCUUUCUUAUUUUGAUUCAAUCUUAAUUUGGUCUUUCAUUUGUAUAAUCUGCUAAUUUAAAAUACAUUUAAAAUACAUUUAAUAUUU